Molecule: ribosomal RNA, 377 nt
Filed under: uncultured bacterium
Lineage: Bacteria
Description: bacterial SSU rRNA
Rfam family: Bacterial small subunit ribosomal RNA
Source: RNAcentral
AAACGUAGGAGGCAAGCGUUAUCCGGAUUUACUGGGCGUAAAGCGCGUGCAGGCGGCUUGUUAAGUCGGACGUGAAAUCUCCUGGCUCAACUGGGAGAGGCCGUUCGAAACUAGCAGGCUUGAGGGCGGUAGAGGGAAGUGGAAUUCCAGGUGUAGCGGUGAAAUGCGUAGAUAUCUGGAGGAACACCAGUGGCGAAAGCGGCUUCCUGGACCGAUCCUGACGCUAAGACGCGAAAGCUAGGGGAGCAAACGGGAUUAGAAACCCCGGUAGUCCUAGCUGUAAACGAUGUGGACUUGGUGUUGGUAGCUUAAACUCUAUCAGUGCCGAAGCUAACGCGAUAAGUCCACCGCCUGGGGACUACGAUCGCAAGAUUAAA